This is a long non-coding RNA of Herpailurus yagouaroundi (jaguarundi), 1606 nucleotides long. RefSeq lists it as uncharacterized. The record is from RefSeq and is a predicted model, not a curated record. The transcript is spliced from 3 exons. Lineage: Eukaryota; Metazoa; Chordata; Mammalia; Carnivora; Felidae.
CUCCGGCCUUUGUUUACCGUGCACAUGGGCCAGCGCCCUUCUCUCAAAAACAGGAAAAUUGUAUUGUUUUGGAUGAGAGGCUAAUGGGGACUUUGGAAGGAAGCUAGCUAAGGGUGUGUAGGAGCUGCUGCACAGGAGGGGUCAAGAGCUGGGGGAGAGUGGCCAGAUUUCAGAAGGUCACUUUGGUUUAGGAAGUGAAGCUUUGUGGGAGGGGGGAAAGGUGAGCAUAUGCGUAGCCAGCCAUGUCAGCCCGGUCCGAUUUCAUGGUGGUGAUUACUGAGUGAUUUCUGGAUUAGCCUUUCACACGUGCAGGUUCAUUGAGCACUGGCCACUUCCUUCUCCUUGUUUUCUUUGCUUUUGAAACUUUUGCCCCACUCACUCAGGAAGAUUUGCAUGCAGACAUUUUUAGGUUGGCAGGGAACGACAGCUUCUCAGAAAAUGUGUGGCACCGUGCGGUAAGGUGAUAUUAGACCGAGGCACAAGGCUCGCAUUCACCUUGGGAUGAACCUAGUGAGCACGAAGUACAGAGAAUGCCCAGCAAGGCCAGGACCGGUGAGACCUGUGUAUGAAAAAGUCUAAAGAUGGUGUUCAUCUACCCAGGUUGCUAUUUACUGCCUCAGAAGGAUGAGUCAUUCUCUGUUUACACUGAGGGACUGAAGUUAUGUCUGUUUGCAGCCAGCAGUGUAACCAAGUCGUGAGGAUGCCAUGACAGUAACUGCUCUCUGGGCGUCUCAGAAUCUCAGAGCCUCCGACUCUGGACGGAACUUGCUACAGGAGACGCUGCCCCCUGUAGACUCGGCGAAAGGAGCUCUACUAAGAAAUAAACCAAAUUUAAAAAACAAACAACCCCCUCCAACCCUGCCUAGGGCUUUUAAAGAAUACAGAACUUUCCAGCAGCCAAGUGGCAUUGUCAGCGGUGGGCUAGGAUUUUACACCUCGUAGGAACAGAACGGGGAUGUGCGGGGAUCUGAGGGAAUAAUAUUAAUGGCUUGAGUUGGUCCCAGAUGGAAGCUUGCUGUGUUUCUACCAAAACGCUGCUCUGCUUCCUUAUGCGGAAGAUAGAGGCUCUGUUGAGUCGUUUAAGCAAAACCUUGCAAAGCACGCGUGGCCGUCUGGGAUUUGCAACAGAACUAGCCAGUGGGAGAAGGAAGGGAGAGAGAGCCAGGCCACGGGAGGCAAGGUGGUAGACACUAUGAGCGUCUCCUGGUGUCUCAGCGCUUCCCAAACUGCUGGUCCGGGCAAGCCACCUGAAUUCUCCAGAACGUGCAGGUUCUGAUAAGGCAGGUCUGGGGCGGGGCUUGCAAUUCUUCAUCUCUAACAAGCUCCCAGGUGACGCCAAUGUUGCCGGCCCCUGAACCACACUUUAAGGAGCAAGGGGUCAGGGUAACUGCUUCACCUAUCCUCUUCCUUGGUCGAGCCCUAAAGGUCAGGUGCUUACCUGCACGGGGUUCAGGGAGAGUAACGCCUGCUCGGUCCCACCGGAGCAUGUUAAUCAGCCCAAGCCCAUCAUGGUAAUUCUACUCCCUUUGCCAGUGAUUGGCUCGGGACGGGCCAUGUGACCCAUCUUGGUCAAGGAGAUAAAAGGAAAACCGUCGGGGGUGGGGAG